CGGUGCCAGCAGCCGCGGUAAUCCAGNUCCAAUAGCGUAUAUUAAAGUUGUUGCAGUUAAAAAGCUCGUAGUUGAAUUUCGGGACCAUCAUGUCGGUCGUGCCUCGGUACGUACUGGCAUCGUCGGUUUCUCCCUUCUGACGAACCAUGAUGUCAUUAAUUUGGUGUCUUGGGGAAUCAGGACUGUUACUUUGAAAAAAUUAGAGUGUUUAAAGCAGGCUCACGCUUGAAUACAUUAGCAUGGAAUAAUGAAAUAGGACGUUUGAUUCUAUUUUAGUUGGUUUCUAGGGAUCGACGUAAUGAUUAAUAGGGAUAGUUGGGGGCAUUAGUAUUCAAUUGUCAGAGGUGAAAUUCUUGGAUUUAUUGAAGACUAACUACUGCGAAAGCAUUUGCCAAGGAUGUUUUCAUUAAUCAAGAACGAAAGUUAGGGGGAUCGAAGACGAUCAGAUACCGUCGUAGUCUUAACCAUAAACUAUGCCGACUAGGGAUCGGAUGAUGUUAAUUUUUUAAUGACUCAUUCGACGCCUUACG
Molecule: ribosomal RNA, 530 nt
Filed under: uncultured Glomus
Lineage: Eukaryota; Fungi; Glomeromycota; Glomeromycetes; Glomerales; Glomeraceae
Description: SSU rRNA
Rfam family: Eukaryotic small subunit ribosomal RNA
Source: RNAcentral